Molecule: transfer RNA, 87 nt
Filed under: Dasya binghamiae
Lineage: Eukaryota; Rhodophyta; Florideophyceae; Ceramiales; Dasyaceae
Description: tRNA-Tyr
Rfam family: tRNA
About the family: Transfer RNA (tRNA) molecules are approximately 80 nucleotides in length. Their secondary structure includes four short double-helical elements and three loops (D, anti-codon, and T loops).
Source: RNAcentral
AAAGAGAUGGCUGAGUGGUUGAAAGCAAUAGACUGUAAAUCUAUUAUAACUAAAAGUAUCUCAUAGGUUCGAAUCCUAUUCUCUUUA